UCAAGUAAUUAAGUGCAUGUGGUGGAUGCCUUGGCAGUCAGAGGCGAUGAAAGACGUGAUAGCCUGCGAAAAGCUCCGGGGAGGCGGCAAAUAUCCUUUGAUCCGGAGAUGUCUGAAUGGGGGAACCCACCUACUUUAAGGUAGGUAUUGCAACAUGAAUACAUAGUGUUGCAAGGCGAACGAGGGGAAGUGAAACAUCUCAGUACCCUUAGGAAAAGAAAUCAAUUGAGAUUCCCUCAGUAGCGGCGAGCGAACGGGGAUCAGCCCAUUAAGUUAUGUGUGUUUUAGUGGAACGCUCUGGGAAGUGCGAACGUAGAGGGUGAUAUUCCCGUACACGAAAGGGCACACAUAAUGAUGACGAGUAGGGCGAGGCACGUGAAACCUUGUCUGAAUAUGGGGGGACCAUCCUCCAAGGCUAAAUACUCCUGACUGACCGAUAGUGAACCAGUACCGUGAGGGAAAGGCGAAAAGAACCCCUGUGAGGGGAGUGAAAUAGAUCCUGAAACCGCAUGCAUACAAGCAGUGGGAGCACCUUCGUGGUGUGACUGCGUACCUUUUGUAUAAUGGGUCAGCGACUUAUAUUCAGUAGCGAGGUUAACCGUAUAGGGGAGCCGUAGAGAAAUCGAGUCUUAAUAGGGCGUUUAGUUGCUGGGUAUAGACCCGAAACCAGGCGAUCUAUCCAUGAGCAGGUUGAAGGUUGGGUAACACUAACUGGAGGACCGAACCCACUGUCGUUGAAAAGCCAGGGGAUGACUUGUGGAUAGGGGUGAAAGGCUAAUCAAGCCUGGUGAUAGCUGGUUCUCCCCGAAAGCUAUUUAGGUAGCGCCUCGGACGAAUACCAUAGGGGGUAGAGCACUGUUUCGGCUAGGGGGUCAUCCCGACUUACCAAACCGAUGCAAACUCCGAAUACCUAUGAGUACUAUCCGGGAGACAGACUGCGGGUGCUAACGUCCGUAGUCAAGAGGAAAACAAUCCAGACCGCCAGCUAAGGCCCCAAAAUCAUAGUUAAGUGGGAAACGAUGUGGGAAGGCAUAGACAGCUAGGAGGUUGGCUUAGAAGCAGCCACCCUUUAAAGAAAGCGUAAUAGCUCACUAGUCGAGUCGGCCUGCGCGGAAGAUGUAACGGGGCUAAAACUAUGUGCCGAAGCUGCGGAUGUAUACUUUGUAUACGUGGUAGGGGAGCGUUCUGUAAGCCGAUGAAGGUGUGUUGAGAAGCAUGCUGGAGGUAUCAGAAGUGCGAAUGCUGACGUGAGUAACGACAAAACGGGUGAAAAACCCGUUCGCCGAAAGACCAAGGGUUCCAGUCCAACGUUAAUCGGGGCUGGGUGAGUCGACCCCUAAGGCGAGGCCGAAAGGCGUAGUCGAUGGGAAAAUGGUUAAUAUUCCAUUACUUCUGUGUAAUGCGAUGAGAGGACGGAGAAGGCUAAAUCAGCCUGGCGUUGGUUGUCCAGGUGAAAGGAUGUAGGCAUGUAUCUUAGGCAAAUCCGGGGUACUCUAUGCUGAGAUCUGAUAGCAAGCUGUACUUGUACAGCGAAGUGGUUGAUGCCAUGCUUCCAGGAAAAGUCUCUAAGCUUCAGUUACACAGGAAUCGUACCCGAAACCGACACAGGUGGUCAGGUCGAGUAGACCAAGGCGCUUGAGAGAACUCUGCUGAAGGAACUAGGCAAAAUGGUACCGUAACUUCGGGAGAAGGUACGCUGUUGUUGGUGAUGGAACUCGCUUCCUGAGCUGACGACAGCCGCAGAAACCAGGCCGCUGCAACUGUUUAUUAAAAACAUAGCACUCUGCAAACACGAAAGUGGACGUAUAGGGUGUGAUGCCUGCCCGGUGCUGGAAGGUUAAUUGAUGGGGUUAGCGUAAGCGAAGCUCUUGAUCGAAGCCCCAGUAAACGGCGGCCGUAACUAUAACGGUCCUAAGGUAGCGAAAUUCCUUGUCGGGUAAGUUCCGACCUGCACGAAUGGCAUAAUGAUGGCGGCGCUGUCUCCAGCAGAGGCUCAGUGAAAUCGAAAUCGCUGUGAAGAUGCAGUGUACCCGCGGCUAGACGGAAAGACCCCGUGAACCUUUACUGCAGCUUGACACUGAACUUUGACCUUACUUGUGUAGGAUAGGUGGGAGGCUUUGAAGCUGGAACGCUAGUUCCAGUGGAGCCGUCCUUGAAAUACCACCCUGGUAAUGUUGAGGUUCUAACUCUGUCCCGUGAUCCGGGACGAGGACCGUGUCUGGUGGGUAGUUUGACUGGGGCGGUCUCCUCCUAAAGAGUAACGGAGGAGUACGAAGGUGCGCUCAGCGUGGUCGGAAAUCACGCGUAGAGUAUAAAGGCAAAAGCGCGCUUAACUGCGAGACCCACAAGUCGAGCAGGUACGAAGGUAGGUCUUAGUGAUCCGGUGGUUCUGUAUGGAAGGGCCAUCGCUCAACGGAUAAAAGGUACUCUGGGGAUAACAGGCUGAUACCGCCCAAGAGUUCAUAUCGACGGCGGUGUUUGGCACCUCGAUGUCGGCUCAUCUCAUCCUGGGGCUGAAGCAGGUCCCAAGGGGAUGGCUGUUCGCCAUUUAAAGAGGUACGCGAGCUGGGUUUAGAACGUCGUGAGACAGUUCGGUCCCUAUCUACCGUGGGCGCUGGAAAUUUGAGAGGAUCUGCUCCUAGUACGAGAGGACCAGAGUGGACGAACCUCUGGUGUACCGGUUGUGACGCCAGUCGCAUCGCCGGGUAGCUAUGUUCGGAAGGGAUAACCGCUGAAAGCAUCUAAGCGGGAAGCCUACCUCAAGAUAAGAUUUCCCUAGGACUUUAUGUCCUCUAAAGAGCCGUUCGAGACUAGGACGUUGAUAGGUUGGAUGUGGAAGCAUAGUGAUAUGUGAAGCUGACCAAUACUAAUUGCUCGUGAGGCUUGACUAU
This 2891-nucleotide ribosomal RNA is filed under the name Acinetobacter baumannii 1287985. Its description in RNAcentral is "bacterial LSU rRNA". It matches the Rfam family "Bacterial large subunit ribosomal RNA". The record is from RNAcentral. Lineage: Bacteria; Pseudomonadati; Pseudomonadota; Gammaproteobacteria; Moraxellales; Moraxellaceae.